This 222-nucleotide ribosomal RNA is filed under the name uncultured bacterium. RNAcentral describes it as "partial 16S ribosomal RNA". It matches the Rfam family "Bacterial small subunit ribosomal RNA", at positions 109 to 334 of the family's 1533-position model. The record is from RNAcentral.
AGUAAUGUCUGGGAAACUGCCUGAUGAGGGGGAGUAACUACUGGAAACGGUAGCUAAUACCGCAUAACGUCGCAAGACCAAAGAGGGGGACCUUCGGGCCUCAUGCCAUCAGAUGUGCCCAGAUGGGAUUAGCUAGUAGGUGGGGUAACGGCUCACCUAGGCGACGAUCCCUAGCUGGUCUGAGAGGAUGACCAGCCACACUGGAACUGAGACACGGUCCAG